UUCAGCUUUUGUCUUUGCAUGGAUAAAGCUCUUGCACCAAUUCUUUAAAGAAUGCUCUUGAAAUCCAUCUAUGUAUAAUCCAUCUACGUGCUGGUUUGGCUAGCAGUGCUAGGACUUACCCUCCCUCCUCUGUCUGCUUGUGAACGUAUGCCAGUAUGUCUGCAGCUCUGCCUGUUCCUUCACAUACCACCACUGGCACAGGAGGACUUUCAUGAAGGAAGUCUAAAACUAACUAUGCCACCGAAAGAGAACUGAAAAAAAAACCAUCAGCCCACAGUGUAGACAGCAAAGACAUCACUAGGACUGGUAAGAAGAAACAAAGACAACAGGAGAACAUUGAUUAGAGAUUUCUACAAUGUAAAAUAAAUUCAAGAAAAAAAUAAAUCCAAUCAAGACACAUAGAAUGGCAAGGCCCAGACAAAAAACAGUGAAGGUUCAGUAAAUAUAUAUUUUUCAACCCACUGCAAUUUCAAGAUCAGUUUAAGAUAACGCAGACAAAUGUUUGAAACAGGACUGUACCAGCUAGUUCAGCCCAUGGAAAAUUGCUCUUCAACUGCCCGCCCUCUUGCAAAACCUUUCCUAAACUCAGCAGAGCUUUCCCACAUUGCUCAUCAUGACUGACCUCCAACAUUUUGUUUAACUCAGACUACAGAUCUGUCAAGGCAGCAACAAACUGCUGCUCCAGCUUCUGACCUCACGCCAGGAUGGGCACCAAGUCCUUUGCAAGAGGACUGGAAGCUGCAAGGGAACUGGCGCUUCCCAGGAGACGAAGGAGAAGGGCAGGGGAACAGUAGAGGUACAUCCCUGGGAAAGAAUCGUGGAAGACAGAAGACUUGCACACAAGGGCUCAGUACAGCUUUAGUUCUUCUCUAAUUUUCAUCAGAUCAUUAGCAGUGAUACAAAAAUAAAUUUGAUAUAUACGUAGGCAUACAUUUAUAUAAACAUAUUCAUAUUAUAUGGAAAACAUGUACAUUAGGUAGCUUAUGGGUUUUUAGCUUACUUCUCAAUCUGUAUUUUUGAACGCUAUCAAGCUCCCAUCUUGGUCUUUGUGACACGAAUAACAGUUCUGAAGGCUACUUUCUGCUUGGCCAAGUGUCCCCACUAUUUACAUGAGUAUUUCUGUACUUUGUUUCUUAAAACUGAGGUCUUCGUAUGGAUCAUUAUUUUAACACUGCAAUAGUUAAAGCUUGCAUAUGAAGUCAGCACAUACAAAGACAGAGAAGAGUAAUUUAAUACGGAAAUGUGUUAGUCAGCUGGCUAAAACCAUACCUUGAAGCAAGCUUUCACAACCAUAACACACCAGCUAUUGAAAUCGGAAGUACAGAAAUCACGUGUAAUUACCUCAAUCGCUCCAAAGCAAUAUUGUUUAUUGUUAAUAAGAAGACAUCAAAGCUGGGGACAAGGAACACAUUCAUGACACAACAGCAAUUCUCAUAAUAAGCGGAUGUGAAAAUUUAAAGUAAAAUACUGAUUAGAUUUGGGUUUUUUUUCCAUAAAGUACAGUUCCAAUCACUCUACAAGGAUUUCUGUUUAUUCUUCAGCAGUGAAAGAAUUCACAGCAGCACAUGGAUACACCUGUACUACUGCCAUAAAGGAGGAUCUACAACGUUAUUAAAACAAACGGACCUUCAGUAGCACUCCUACGCUCUAAUGAAUAUUUAUCACAAGAGAUUUUAUAAAGAACCUGCUGAUUUCAGUCUUGUUUACAGUCAAGGAAAAAGGCAGGGGGAGGAAAGGAACAAAAAGAACAGAAAGCGAGACAUUUCCCAUAGCCGGGUAAGGAUCGUGUUAAAAAACAUAGGGAGAAGUGACACAUAGUAUUACACUCCCUGUAAACGAGAACUAUUACAUAACGUUGCUGAGAUGGCCAGAUGACGAAGGAAGAUGAUGUGAGGACACUGAAGUUAAGGAAGUAUUGCUUAGAGGUAAUGACUGCCACUAAUUCGUCAGCUAAAGAUUAAGUUAAAACAAGAGACUGGGUUUAUAUUUAUAUAUAUAUGUGUGUGUGUGUACAUACACACACACACACAAUACAUAUAUAUGUAUAUAUCAUUACAAACAUUAUCAAUCUACUAUAAAGAAUUUUUUAUUCUUACAAAAAAAAAAAAAAAAAGCUUACCAGCCUCCCCUUCAUUAAGUGCUUUGUUCCUUACCCAAAGCACUACAGCAAGACAACAGCUAAAUAGUGGCAGAGCUACUGUAACACCUCACCAAGCUAUUCUGAAAUUCUCCUUGUUCAUCUCAAGUUUAAACAUCUCAGUUUAAACUUAUCCCAAAUACUUAACGCUGGAAUAUUGCACACCGACCCGACAGCUCUUCUGACAACCUUUUUCUAUUGAAUUAAACAGCUGAAUCAGGAAACUGAUCUGGAUUAAAAAUAAAUAAAUAAACAGAACAUUUCAGACCAUGACUUCUGUGGAAGGUUGGUAACACAGAUUUCAUAGACCUCAGUUUCAAAUUUAGAAGUGAUAUCAUCUUCUAUGGCAUCUCAUAUUCCAGCUUUCAAAUCUUUGCUUAUACCAUACUGUAGUUCAAUACAGGCAAUAGUUUUUAAAGGAAAAGAUCUCCCAAUCUUAUUUGUCUUUCAUUUAGAAAUAAGGGGGCUGUAUAUUCUUUCCCCAUUGCCUUGAGUUUUCCUAAUAGCCAAAGUUUCCAUCUGGGCAGAGAACAACCACGGUUAGUUUCAGCAAGCCUGAAAACAGGCAGAUACAACAGAAACCACGGCAGGAAAACGCACACUAUAGCACUGCCACCAAGCAGCCCCAUCUGCCUACGUCUCAACCAACCAACAAGAUAAAACAUUUGUAGAAAGACUUUCUGUACUCAAGAACGUCCUUUAGCUUGUCUAUUCAAGGAACUGUCUGCUAAUAAGUUACUACUUCUUAUGUAACCAUACACACACUUAUCUAAGAAACUCACUCCAUUGGUCAAACAUGUGCUGUAUCAUGGGACUGAACUGUGAUCUCUGCUCAGCUAACACACAGCUGAGCACCAGGCUCCUGCAGAUACAGCCGAAAGGCAAAAUUCCAGACCAACUGAUAUCUUACUGCUUCUGUAAUCAUGUUGAAUAAAACCAAAUAAAUCCAAGCUAGGACAAAUAUGGGAUCAAAUUAAGGUAAUGCUGAUCAAAUAGCUGGGAAUUCAUAAAACUCCUUAUGGCAAGAGGUGACAUAAAUAAGAUCUAUGCUGGAUCUCACUGCAAAUAUUUCCAGCAGCUUCAAGCAGACAGCAGGCAUGGCGCUAACCUUGUUCUCACUACCAUCUAACUGAGCAGUAUUGAGUCACCUGAGAGGUAGCUAUGCAUACAUAUACAUAUAACAAAGUUCUGUAUUGAAAAGUCCUGAGAGCACAGCCCAUUUCCUCAAGAAAACACCUAGAAACUUGCAGAAAGUCCUCAGGACUUCUUUAUUAACAUUAAAUACGUAAGCAGAUGGGAACAGAAAUGAAAAGGGUAGCAGAUGCAUGGCACCUAACUGCCUCAUGUUCAUUUUAAACUCUCAGCUCCAGCAAUCUUCAGACUUCCAACUCGCCUGCUUUCCUUGCAAUUUAAAAUUACAUACCUCUGUAAUUAUUGUUUGUUUGUUGGCUGCCUGUUUGUUAGUUUGGUUGUUUGUUUUUUUUCUUAAAGGAGAGAGGAAGGAAACAAAGCAUUUAGUCACACAGCAUUACAAACUGCAUUUAGAAGAUGGCUGAAGAGAAGUAGUGCUGCUUGUCCACAGAAUACACAACACACACAAAACAGCCACAAAAUUUGCUCUUGAAUCAAUUAAGAUACCAGUGAGCCUGAACAAGUUAUAAGUAACGUCUGUUGUAACCUGUUGUAAAAUC
Molecule: long non-coding RNA, 3828 nt
Organism: Lagopus leucura (white-tailed ptarmigan)
Lineage: Eukaryota; Metazoa; Chordata; Aves; Galliformes; Phasianidae
Exons: 3
Source: RefSeq, a predicted model, not a curated record